GGGGAUAUAACUCAGUGGCAAAGUGCCUGCCUGGCAGUGUGAGGUCCUGAGUUCAAUUCUAGGUACCCCCA
Molecule: transfer RNA, 71 nt
Filed under: Cavia porcellus (domestic guinea pig)
Lineage: Eukaryota; Metazoa; Chordata; Mammalia; Rodentia; Caviidae
Rfam family: tRNA
About the family: Transfer RNA (tRNA) molecules are approximately 80 nucleotides in length. Their secondary structure includes four short double-helical elements and three loops (D, anti-codon, and T loops).
Source: Rfam by way of RNAcentral